GUUUCUGUAGUGUAGUGGUUGCCACGUUUGCCUAAAGUGUAAAAAGUCCCUGGUUUGAAACCAGGCAGAAACA
Non-coding RNA from Tinamus guttatus (white-throated tinamou), 73 nucleotides. The record is from the annotation of a RefSeq genome assembly. Lineage: Eukaryota; Metazoa; Chordata; Aves; Tinamiformes; Tinamidae.